RNAcentral lists this ribosomal RNA (322 nucleotides) under uncultured eukaryote. RNAcentral's name for it is "partial 18S ribosomal RNA". It matches the Rfam family "Eukaryotic small subunit ribosomal RNA", at positions 1470 to 1796 of the family's 1831-position model. The record is from RNAcentral.
CCCUUAGAUGUUCUGGGCCGCACGCGUGCUACACUGAGUAAAUCAAUGGGUAAGGGAACACGAAAGUGCAACCUAAUCUUCAAAUUUGCUCGUGAUGGGGAUCGACGGUUGCAAUUUUCCGUCGUGAACGAGGAAUACCUUGUAGGCGCGUGUCAUCAUCACGCGCCGAAUACGUCCCUGUCCUUUGUACACACCGCCCGUCGCUCCUACCGAUUGAGUGAUCCGGUGAGGCUCUGGGACCUGGACGGAAAGAGCGUUUCGCUUGUUCUGUUUGGGAAACUUGGUCGAACCUUAUCAUUUAGAGGAAGGAGUAGUCGUAACA